Molecule: transfer RNA, 78 nt
Filed under: Mediterraneibacter torques
Lineage: Bacteria; Bacillati; Bacillota; Clostridia; Lachnospirales; Lachnospiraceae
Also listed under: 6 other names
Description: [Ruminococcus] torques tRNA-Pro(tgg)
Rfam family: tRNA
About the family: Transfer RNA (tRNA) molecules are approximately 80 nucleotides in length. Their secondary structure includes four short double-helical elements and three loops (D, anti-codon, and T loops).
Source: RNAcentral
UCGGGGUGUGGCUCAGCUUGGCUAGAGCGCCUGGUUUGGGACCAGGAGGUCGCAGGUUCGAAUCCUGUCACCCCGAUC